CUGUCACGCCGGUACGAACGGAUUACUUUGAUGAGGUAAAAAAUGGGACACAUUCCCUGACAGC
This 64-nucleotide transfer RNA is filed under the name Nodularia douglasiae. RNAcentral's name for it is "tRNA-Ile". The record is from RNAcentral. Lineage: Eukaryota; Metazoa; Mollusca; Bivalvia; Unionida; Unionidae.